This 45-nucleotide non-coding RNA is filed under the name Schistosoma curassoni. Lineage: Eukaryota; Metazoa; Platyhelminthes; Trematoda; Strigeidida; Schistosomatidae. The record is from RNAcentral.
GCACUGCUGAAGAGCCCCAAAAAAGACGAAACGACCGUCCAGUGC